Molecule: non-coding RNA, 148 nt
Filed under: Nomascus leucogenys (northern white-cheeked gibbon)
Lineage: Eukaryota; Metazoa; Chordata; Mammalia; Primates; Hylobatidae
Source: Rfam by way of RNAcentral
GCCGGGCGUGGUGGCGCACGCCUGUAAUCCCAGCUACUCGGGAGGCUGACGCAGGAGAAUCGCUUGAACCCAGGAGGCGGAGGUUGCAGUGAGUCGAGAUUGAGCCACUGCACUUCAGCCUGGGUGACACAGCGAGACUCCAUCUCAA